CAGUGAUGGGAGAAGCUGGUGGGAAACUCAGCCCCAGCAGUCUCUUCAGGAAUACGCAAAGGUCUGGAGGUCUUGGCAGCGGCUCUUCCAGUUACCCAGAGCCUGCUGGCUUAUCCAGCGUUAUACAUCCUUUCAAUUUGGGGAUGCCCUUGGGUUUGACAAGCUCAGCUGAGAUCCAUAGCUGUUUGCCCCCUAGUUCAGCCCUGCAUCUACCUCUCUCUAUCUCCGGGAAAUCUGGUUUUGCUCCUCCUGUAAAUCCUACUUUUCCAGGCUCUACCCCUACUCCCCUUUUUACAAGUGGGAAAACUGGGCCAGGCUCCAGUCUUUAAUCUCAGCACCCUGGAGACAGAGGUAAGCUGAGGCCAGCCUAGUCUCACAGCAAGUUUCGAACCAGCCUACGGCUAACACAGCGAGAUUCUGCCUAAGAUAAAAAUUCAAAGUGGGGAAACUGAGGCUGAAGGGGCAAGUCACACAGCAGCGCACAGCGGACUGAACUGUGUCGGCUCGGAUGCUCAGGGCUUCAUCUGGCUGAAGGCGUUAUAACCCCCAAACUCUGCCCGUGACCGUUCAGGAACAGCAGUAGCAAAGUCACCCUCUCCCACGUCACCAGGAGCCUUGGUGGCCCCUCCGGCUCACUGUCCCCUAGCCCUCAAGACAAAAUCACCUGAGGUACAGCUGGAGCGAUUUAGACUGCCAGGCCAGGCUUGAGUCCCUCCUACAGGUCGAGAAGGGGCACAGUGGAGUCGGUGACCAUACCUGAUCAGAUUGCCCUGAAAUUCCCUGUUUAUAUAAUAAAUAUGUGCCAAGUGGUGCCCAGUACUUCCUGAACCUCCUGAAGGGCUCCCCUCCCUCAAGCCAAUAGUCCUGCUAUUCUUAGACUUCCGGGGCUCCCAUGGCCCUCAGCCAGAAUCGAAAACCUCCACUUGGCGUUGGGAGUCCCCAAAGCUUGGGAGUCUCUGAGUCCACCCCUCUCCCACCUCCUCUUAGUGAACCCAUGCUGUGGGCAAGAGCUCUUGCCCUGUCUCCUCCAUGUUCCCACCUCUGAGGCCUCCACCCCUCUGUAAGGAUGCCAGCUACUCUCCUCUUGGCCACUCUAACAGGAAAUCCUCCCCGGCUGACCAAGUUUUCUCAACACAGGCAGGAUCUUUCUUGGGGACAAUGCUACCACACCGAAUCCCCAACCGCCUUCUGUAGUCAGCACCUUGCCUAGUUGGUCCUUCUACAGGGGAACUGCCAGGUGCUGAGGCAGGGCUAACAGGGCAGGAGUGAUGCAGGAGGAUGGACAUGUUUCCCAGCUGAGGCAGGCCUGGCACGGGAGCCAGCUUGAUACCAAAUGACAGUGGCUAUUCCCGUGAAGGGAACAGAGCCCAAGAGCAAGCCCUAUUCCUUUCUACAACCAUUUUGCCUGGUUGUAGGCCCAGAGAGUCUUCCCAGAAGCUGUGCCAGCAGAGAACCCAGUAAUGAGUGAUGGGUUUAAGAUCACACUAUCUAAUACAAUCGUCCCUGGCCACAUGUGGCCGUUGAGCACUUGAAAUAGAGCUUCCUCGAGUAGAGAGAGGCCAGAAGUAUAAAACACACCGGAUUCCAAAGAUUAGUACAGAAGAUAGUGUAAAACACCUCAAUAAUAGUUUAUGUUGAUAAUACGUAAAAAUCGGUGUGCUUAGGAUACAUUUUAAGUUAAAAUAAAACAAUUUUUUAUUCUUCUUACGGUAGUAAGGAUUGAACCCAGAGCCUUAGGUAACUGGGCAAUUGCUCUACUGGCUGAGCUACGCCUCCAUCUCUAAAAAUUUAUUAGUAAAAUGACUGGUUGACACAGGCUUAGCAUGCUUGGGUUACUAGGUUCUAUCUCCUGUACUAAAACAAAAGACGAUUUUCGUUUACAUUUUUUUUUUUUUAUAUCGCUAUAGGAAAAUCUGAAGCUACAGAUGUGGCUCAGGUUACGCCAUUUCCAUUUUACGGAGGAGGAAACCAGCUUAGGAGAUCUUGAAUGGCAUGGUCUACAAUGGCUGCCCUGAGGUUUGUGCCUCGAAGGGACGAAUACCGCCUAAAUGUUUCAUGCUCACAGUCACCUUCCUCUUCUCACUGACUUGUGACAGACAGUAUUACAUUCUGUCUUUGAGGGCAGCCACAGCAUUGGUGCUGAGAUCCAAGGAUGUUAGAAGUCCCCCAAGAUGUCCCCACAAGAGCAGCCAUUGUCAUUUAGGAUUGAAUUUAGGCUGACACUGUUGUUUGCCCUUCUUCGCUGUCCCCAGCUAACUCCAGCUACAGCCCAAGGGCCUCUGCUACUUCAGCCCCUAUCAGUCAGGAUACCAGCUCCCUUCCAGAAAGUAACUCCUGUCAGUUCCCUUGCCCCCUCAUCCAACAGGAGCGCCCUAGAGGGUGCAUGUCCCCAGACAGCUCAGUCCAUAGGGGAUAUCCCCAGGUUUCUGCAGGAGCAGCUAUAGUAGCGACCAUGACAUUGGGAGCAAGUUCUUUGUGAUAAGAGCUCCAAGGUCUGUUAGCUUCAUGGCUACCUCCCUUCCCCGUCUCUCAGAGAAAAGACCUCCUCUGGGGUCCUAGACUUGGUUCAUCUCUGAGGUAUUUGGGAGGGCAGCCUGUGGUUCUAGUCAGGACAGGGAUCCAAUUAUGCCUACAUACCUGACUGGCCAGGGAGGGCUUCUCUGGGUCUUGUGAGCAAGCAAAACCUAUCUCAUCUUGUAUCCUUGAAAUGUACCGAGGAGCCUGAACUGGAUGAAGAUUCAGGACCUAGACCUAGGUCCCUGGAGGCUAGGUUUGCUGGAGGCAUUUGGCAUCUGGCUGGGUCAUCCCAUUUGGAUGUAAAAGGGUCAGAUUUUAGGCUGUGAUUGUAAAGUAAGGAGGCCACAUUGGGUUUUUAAAUAGUUUUAAAUUUAAGAAAAUGAAUUAAGAGAAAGGACUUAUGGAGUGAGGAUUCUUGGCGGCCUCGGGAUAAUUAUAAAACCAGCUCCAAUUUUCCAAGUCCUUUGCAGUUCCAAGCCUGAGGGGCCACAGUCCCCAGGGGAGCUGGCUGGACAAGGUCUUUGGCACACCCAACAGAAUGGGGCUAUCCCUCUGCCUCCAGGAGGGCACCAUCAUUCCCCACCCCUUCCUUAGAUCCAGAUGCAAGAGAGUGGUCAGACAAAUCUAUUUCGAUGCCUGCUCUGUUGCUUGUCCAUAAAACGGAGUAACGGCAGUUCUCAGUACAGAGUUGAACCUCUGCCCCCAGACCCUCCAUUGCUCUUACAGCUCACACUGCUGGCUUUUCUUCCCCUCCACCAAAGCCACCUGGGGGGAAAGGUGCUUCCAGAUACAUCACCCCUACCAUUUUUUGUACCUGAAACCUGGAGAAAGAAACCAGCCUGAAACCAGGGCACAGCUAUACCUGGCCCUGUGUCAGGGCAGCCACUGCUGAGGCACCUCCCCUUUCCCAUUCUCUCAGCCUCACCCACUCUGGAGGCAGAUGUGCCUUGCACUUGGGAACAGGAGGUGCAAUGGAUGGAGUAAGCUUCACCUUUUUCUUUUUUCUCUCCCUCCCUCUCCCUUCUUGCCUUUCUAUCUCCUCUUCCUCCUCCUCCUCCUCCUCCUCCUCCUCCUCCUCCUUCUCCUCCUCCUCCUCCUCCUCCUCCUAAGAUUUAUUUAUUUUAUUUAUAUGAGUACACUGUCACUAUCUUCAGACACACCAGAAGAGGGCAUCAGACCCCAUUACAGAUGGUUGUGAGCCACCAUGUGGUUUCUGGGAAUUGAACUUAGGACCUCUGGAGGAGCAGUUGGUGUUCUUAACUGCAGAGCCAUCUCUCCAGCCCCCCCUCCUCCUCCUCUUCUUCUUCCUCCUUCCUCAUCUUCCUCUCCCCUCCUCCUCUUCUUCCUCUCCCCUCUCUUUCUUUUUAUAGUAUUGGGGAUUGGGCCUAGAACUUCAUGCAUGCUAGGCAAGUGCUAAGCCACACACCUAGCCUUUUAAUUUUAAAUUUAUCUAUCUAUCUAUCUAUCUAUCUAUCUAUCUAUCUAUCUAUCUAUCUAUCUAUCUAUUACUUAUUCUCUGGAAACUUCAUACACGUGUACAAUUGUGGGGCCAGGGAGCUGUGGGACCAGGAGGAGCAAGAAUGGUUGAAGUGUGUCCUAACCCAGGAAAUCUCCCCUGAGAUCAGCAGGAGUGGGAUCACUGCCCGCACCGCUCUAGGCUGGCACGCCCCUGAGCAUGUAGCCCUGUGCCCCCAACCCUUGCCUCACCAGAGGAAGUCACAGAGCCAGAAUCCAGGCUAAACUUCCUUUCUUACGAGGUCGUGUCCAGCAGCAUGUGGGAUUCCUCCUUACACUAAUGAGGAGGAACCCUCAUAAUUAAUGAGGAGGUGCUUAUCCUCAGCACCCUGGCGUUGGCCAAUGACGUAAACUUACCCCAGUAGCCCCUCCUCACCCCCCAAGGUUUAAAUAGCCUUUAUUCCCCACCCCCAAUAAACUGAACCAGUUCUCCAAAGCUGCUCCCCAGUGUGUGUUCUUUGCCUGCGCACUCUCCUCUCAUUCAUUGCUGACCAAGAUCCUGCCUGCAACCCACCAGCCUGGCUAAGCCUCUUUUCCUCCAGUCCAGCAGGUGUGCAAUGGCCCU
RNAcentral lists this long non-coding RNA (4597 nucleotides) under Mus musculus (house mouse). Its description in RNAcentral is "predicted gene 45843". The record is from RNAcentral. Lineage: Eukaryota; Metazoa; Chordata; Mammalia; Rodentia; Muridae.